GGACCCGCACAAGUAGUGGAGCAUGUGGUUUAAUUCGAAGAUACGCGAAGAACCUUACCAGGGCUUGACAUACUACGAAUUUUCUUGAAAGAGAAAAGUGCCUUCGGGAAUGUAGAUACAGGUGGUGCAUGGCUGUCGUCAGCUCGUGUCGUGAGAUGUUGGGUUAAGUCCCGCAACGAGCGCAACCCUUAUUUUUAGUUACCAAUUCGUUGGGUUCUCUAGAAAGACUGCCGGUGACAAACCGGAGGAAGGUGAGGAUGACGUCAAGUCAGCAUGCCCCUUAUGUCCUGGGCUACACACGUGCUACAAUGGUUAAGACAAAGAGUUGCGAGCUUGUAAAAGUCAGCUAAUCUCGUAAACUUAGCCUAAGUUCAGAUUGUAGGCUGCAACUCGCCUGCAUGAAGUUGGAAUCGCUAGUAA
This 420-nucleotide ribosomal RNA is filed under the name uncultured bacterium. RNAcentral's name for it is "bacterial SSU rRNA". It matches the Rfam family "Bacterial small subunit ribosomal RNA", at positions 917 to 1341 of the family's 1533-position model. The record is from RNAcentral.